UGCAAAGGCUUCGAGUUUAGGAGCAAGGCCAUCUUCACUUGUGGGUACAAUUACUAUGGCAUCCGGUGCUCUCAAUUGCAGGAGAGGCUCUCGUUGCUAGCUAGCUCAUAAUCAUAUAUAAUUAUUAAACUGGGCAUCCAAAGAUUUGCCUCCUUAAAUUAAUUAGUUAACAAAAGAAAAGUUGGUGGGAGGAAGGAAAGGAAGGACUAUAUAGUAAAGAAAAAGGGGAGUGAAAUAGUAAUUUUACAGGUGGUGGUUGGUUAAAUGAUAUGAUUUCUACUGUGUGGCGGUACGUAGUAGGCGGUUCUUUACACUAUUCGCGUUGGUUGGUUUGUUUCUUGGUUUUUUUUUUACUGGUUAAGAGUUUUGAAUUUUGAUGUAACAACCUCGGCCUGUUAGUCUCUGAGAAGAGAAUCCUUCUAUCUCACUAAGGAUUAGAUUCUGUUGUGGAGAAUCUGAUCAUGUGGAUUUGGAUGGAUUUCAAGGAGAUAUAAUAAGUCCAGAAGUGUUGAUAUGAAUGAAGUGCAAUAUAUCUGCAUUUUCUUAUCUGAACGUUAUUUAUUCAAAAAUGAAGUAUGUCAGUAUCCCCCGGUUAAGUACGGUUGUCACAAACUUUCACCAACCAUUAUCCCACCAAUGACAAUUCUUUACACUUCAAAAAAAAAAAAAAACACCGUCCAAUUCGUGACCAAUAUAAUCAUCCACGGGAUACACAUCCACGACUGCAAGCAAGGCGGGAACACCAACGUGCGGGACUCCCCACGGCAUUACGGGUGGAGGACGAUAUCGGACGGCGAUGGUGUGUCCAUCUUUGGUGGGAGCCGCGUGUGGGUGGAUCAUUGCUCGUUAGCUAACUGUAACGACGGCCUGAUAGACGCGAUCCAUGGGUCCACAGCGAUUACAAUCUCCAACAAUUACAUGACCCACCACGACAAAGUCAUGUUGCUGGGACACAGUGACACGUAUACUCAGGACAAGAACAUGCAGGUCACCAUUGCCUUUAAUCACUUUGGCGAAGGUCUCGUUCAGAGAAUGCCCAGGUACUUAUAUUCUUAAUUUUAAUUUAAUUUCAAAUAAAUGAGCGGGAGCUUUGGCCUUUGAGCCCUAAUCAUUGUUUAAUUUUAUGGUAAUUAACUUUUGGGUGAAUAUAUAUAGGUGUAGGCAUGGGUAUUUCCAUGUGGUCAACAAUGACUACACACAUUGGGAAAUGUAUGCCAUUGGAGGGAGUGCUAAUCCAACCAUCAACAGUCAAGGCAAUAGAUUCGUUGCUCCAGAUAUCAGGUUUAGCAAAGAGGUAUACACUUUACCCCCCUUUUUCUUCCACUAUAUAUAUAUGUAUCAAACACUUAAUUAUUAUUAUUAUGCAGGUGACGAAGCACGAAGAUGCACCGGAGAGCGAGUGGAAGAAUUGGAAUUGGAGAUCGGAAGGGGACAUGUUGAUGAAUGGGGCAUUUUUUACGGCAUCGGGAGCAGGGGCAUCAUCAUCAAGCUAUGCAAAGGCUUCGAGUUUAGGAGCAAGGCCAUCUUCACUUGUGGGUACAAUUACUAUGGCAUCCGGUGCUCUCAAUUGCAGGAGAGGCUCUCCUUUUUUGCCACUCUCUCUCGUUGCUAGCUAGCUCAUAAUCAUAUAUAAUUAUUAAACUGGGCAUCCAAAGAUUUGCCUCCUUAAAUUAAUUAGUUAACAAAAGAAAAGUUGGUGGGAGGAAGGAAAGGAAGGACUAUAUAGUAAAGAAAAAGGGGAGUGAAAUAGUAAUUUUACAGGUGGUGGUUGGUUAAAUGAUAUGAUUUCUACUGUGUGGCGGUACGUAGUAGGCGGUUCUUUACACUAUUCGCGUUGGUUGGUUUGUUUCUUGGUUUUUUUUUUACUGGUUAAGAGUUUUGAAUUUUGAUGUAACAACCUCGGCCUGUUAGUCUCUGAGAAGAGAAUCCUUCUAUCUCACUAAGGAUUAGAUUCUGUUGUGGAGAAUCUGAUCAUGUGGAUUUGGAUGGAUUUCAAGGAGAUAUAAUAAGUCCAGAAGUGUUGAUAUGAAUGAAGUGCAAUAUAUCUGCAUUUUCUUAUCUGAACGUUAUUUAUUCAAAAAUGAAGUAUGUCAGUAUCCCCCGGUUAAGUACGGUUGUCAC
This 2121-nucleotide long non-coding RNA is filed under the name Linum usitatissimum (flax). RNAcentral describes it as "long non-coding RNA (LUSI_LNC005196)". The record is from RNAcentral. Lineage: Eukaryota; Viridiplantae; Streptophyta; Magnoliopsida; Malpighiales; Linaceae.